RNAcentral lists this unclassified non-coding RNA (967 nucleotides) under Hevea brasiliensis (rubber tree). The record is from RNAcentral. Lineage: Eukaryota; Viridiplantae; Streptophyta; Magnoliopsida; Malpighiales; Euphorbiaceae.
GAAAGCAUCAGAAGUAUGACAAGUUGUUAUGUUUUUAAAAGCCGAUUGCAAGAGUAUGCCCAGAAAGUUGGACUUCCUACCCCUGUUUAUGAGACUAUCAAGGAAGGCCCUUCUCAUGAGCCUACAUUUACGUCUACAGUGAUUGUGGACAAUGAUAGAUAUGAUUCUCUGCCUGGAUUUUACAAUCGCAAGGCAGCGGAGCAAUCAGCUGCUGAAGUUGCACUCAUGAGUCUUGGAAAUUCUGGGUCAGUGGAAAACCUUUCUCAGCCAGUGCAUGAAACAGGCUUGUGCAAAAAUUUGUUGCAAGAGUAUGCUCAGAAGAUGAAUUUUGCAAUCCCACAAUAUGAAUGCGAGAGGUAUGACUCCGAAAGCAAAAUUAUAUCAUUUACAUGUACUGUUGACGUAGGGGGAAUGAAAUAUAUUGGAGCAGCAGCUAGAACGAAGAAGGAAGCAGAGAUCAAAGCUGCUCGAACUGCAUUGUUGGCUGUUCAGUCUAGCGGUUUUGCGCCUAAUUAUUCUUCAUACACUGUCGUUCCAAUGAAGAAGGUCACAGAUUUGGCAAUCAGCAAUCAGGAGAGUGCAGCAGCUCUGAAACCAAAGAAACACAGAUUCAAGAAAAAGCAGACAAGGAAUUUUUCAGAUGUCAGUUAUCAUGUACGCACAAAGAUUUUUGGUGACUCGGAAGUUCAGAUGGUAAAUCAAGCUAAACCAGAGAUGCAUGAAAAUGCUGCUGUGAUGACUCCAGGUACAGGAUCUGGACCUGCACCUUUUGCAGGCACUAUGGGUGAUCUAGUUCCAUCCAACAAUUUGAGUUCUGAUUAUGGAACUUCAAAUAUUGGAAUCAACUCUCAGUGUGGUGGAGGAGUAACGACUGAGGGAAAUGCCGUUAUUGGAGUUGAGCAGGUAACUUUAGAGGUGGCACCAGUUGCUUGGAACGACAAUCUUCAUGUACAGGACCUGCACCUUU